GCUUAACACAUGCAAGUCGAGCGGAGACAUGUAACGGAAAGCUUCGGCUGGAAGAUAUAUGGUUUAGCGGCGGACGGGUGAGUAACGCGUGAGCAACCUGUCCUUCACAGGGGGUAUAAGAUACCGAAAGGUGUUCUAAUACCGCAUAAGACCACAACGUCACAGUGGCGAAGGGGUCAAAGGAGCAAUCCGGUGAAGGGUGGGCUCGCGUCCGAUUAGAUAGUUGGUGAGGUAACGGCCCACCAAGUCGACGAUCGGUAGCCGACCUGAGAGGGUGAUCGGCCACAUUGGGACUGAGACACGGGCCCAGACUCCUACGGGAGGCAGCAGUGGGGAAUAUUGGGCAAUGGGGGAAACCCUGACCCAGCAACGCCGCGUGGAGGAAGAAGGUCUUCGGAUCGUAAACUCCUGUCCUAAGAGACGAGCAGGAGGCGGUAUCUUAGGAGGAAGCCCCGGCUAACUACGUGCCAGCCGCCGC
RNAcentral lists this ribosomal RNA (478 nucleotides) under uncultured bacterium. RNAcentral describes it as "bacterial SSU rRNA". It matches the Rfam family "Bacterial small subunit ribosomal RNA", at positions 46 to 518 of the family's 1533-position model. The record is from RNAcentral.